This is a long non-coding RNA of Lolium rigidum, 224 nucleotides long. RefSeq lists it as uncharacterized. The transcript is spliced from 3 exons. The record is from RefSeq and is a predicted model, not a curated record. NCBI's taxonomy places the organism in Eukaryota, Viridiplantae, Streptophyta, Magnoliopsida, Poales, Poaceae.
UAGGAGAGUUCCUGUUGCAUCCUGGAAAUCUGUCAAUUCUGGAUUGACCCCAGAUUGAUCGGGUCAUAUGAUACUAAGAUUAGAGUUCUGCUGGUUCCUUUCCGUUUGUCUGAAUUAUAGUCUCCAAUAUAUAAGAUUCGAUGUGUGGCCCUCGGUUCUGCUCACCAUGCAAUUCUUCAGCAGUUUCAUCGCAGUGUUACAUAAUCCGAAAGGAGGUUGCAGGG